This 61-nucleotide microRNA precursor is filed under the name Tribolium castaneum (red flour beetle). Its description in RNAcentral is "microRNA tca-mir-3806c precursor". Lineage: Eukaryota; Metazoa; Arthropoda; Insecta; Coleoptera; Tenebrionidae. The record is from miRBase by way of RNAcentral.
CUACGUACGGAUACGUACAUAUUUUUUGAACAAUCAAAAUAUGUGUAUUCGUGCGUAGCAU